This 733-nucleotide long non-coding RNA is filed under the name Pongo abelii (Sumatran orangutan). RNAcentral's name for it is "lincRNA". Lineage: Eukaryota; Metazoa; Chordata; Mammalia; Primates; Hominidae. The record is from RNAcentral.
AUUUAAUAUAAUAUUGUUUAAAUUUAUGCAUGUAUAACUAUAUAAAUGCCAUUUUCUAUCCUUAAAUUAUAGAAAUUGGUAUAUGACGAGAGAAUUUAUUUGCUUUGUAUUCUGAAAUAAUUUUGAUGUUGAGUGGAAAUAUGAAAUUUUAAUCAGUAUUUCCAAAGAAAACAAAUAGAAUUGUGUUGAGGCAAAUUCCCCCAAAGUUUGUGCUCAACGUUUUGUACAUAGGCACAAAAUUAUGAGUAAAAAUUAUGGAUUUUUUUCUUAAUAUGAACUGAAUAGAAAUAAUUCACUGUAAAUGCAGGGCACUGGAAUGAAUUUCCAAAAUAGUUGUUCAUUCCUUUAUUCAUUCUCUAAUGCGGUAAAUAUUUACUGAGUGCUUAUUAUAUGAAACUCUCAGAUUCUAAGGAACAAGAGGCACUCAAUAGAGAAGCAAUUCUUCUUUUUAUUGGUUUUAUGGUGAAAAUCUGAAUGUCUUAAAUGAAUAUUAAGUCAAAUAUAAAGAUACAGCUAAUCAGCCAGCAUGGUGGUGCACAUCUGUAGUCCCAGUUACUUGGGAGGGGCUGAGGUGGGACAAUCGCUUGAGCCCAGGAAGUUGAGGCUGCAGUCAGCCCUGAUCACACCACUGCACUCCAGCCUGUGACAAGAGUAAGCCCCUGUCUCCAAAAAAUAAAUAAUCAAAUCAAACCAAGCCAAAUCACAUAAAGAUGUAGCUAACAGGAAGAGCUUU